CUACUGCUCUCCAAAAUAUAAAGUCAUCUCUAUUAUUAAUAAGUUGCUUUUUGAAUCAAGAUUGCUUUAUCACUUUAAGGAAAAUGCAAAUAUGGAGAAAUUUAUAAAAAAAGGCUUAUAAUAUCUAACUCAAAUGAAGAUAUGUUUUAAGGAUGUUGUUGUAACUGGAGAACAUGUGUGGAAACCAACAACUGGAGUUUUACCAGAUGGUAUACAAGGGAGUAGAUGAUUUCAAUCUGAGAAACCAUUUGAGUUUGACACUUCAAUAAACAAUGAAGAAUUUGUAAC
Capsicum annuum is the source of this 288-nucleotide long non-coding RNA. RefSeq lists it as uncharacterized. NCBI's taxonomy places the organism in Eukaryota, Viridiplantae, Streptophyta, Magnoliopsida, Solanales, Solanaceae. The transcript has 2 exons. The record is from RefSeq and is a predicted model, not a curated record.